RNAcentral lists this ribosomal RNA (440 nucleotides) under uncultured bacterium. Its description in RNAcentral is "partial 16S ribosomal RNA". It matches the Rfam family "Bacterial small subunit ribosomal RNA", at positions 339 to 795 of the family's 1533-position model. The record is from RNAcentral.
CUACGGGUUGCUCCAGUGAGGAAUAUUGCACAAUGGGGGGAACCCUGAUGCAGCAACGCCGCGUGGAGGAUGACGCAUUUCGGUGUGUAAACUCCUUUUAUAUGUCAAGAAAAUGACGGUAGCAUAUGAAUAAGCACCGGCUAACUCCGUGCCAGCAGCCGCGGUAAUACGGAGGGUGCAAGCGUUACUCGGAAUCACUGGGCGUAAAGGACGCGUAGGCGGGUUGGAAAGUCAGGUGUGAAAUCCUACAGCUUAACUGUAGAACUGCACUUGAAACUUCUAAUCUAGAGUAUGGGAGGGGGAGAUGGAAUUAGUGGUGUAGGGGUAAAAUCCGUAGAUAUCACUAGGAAUACCUAAAGCGAAGGCGAUCUCCUGGAACAUUACUGACGCUAAGGCGUGAAAGCGUGGGGAGCAAACAGGAUUAGAUACCCUAGUUAGUC